GAGUUGAUCAUGGCUCAGGACGAACGCUGGCGGCGUGCCUAACACAUGCAAGUCGAGCGAGGAGAUCCUUCGGGAUGAUCCUAGCGGCGGACGGGUGAGUAACACGUGGGCAACCUGCCUCAUAGAGAGGAAUAGCCUUCCGAAAGGGAGAUUAAUACCUCAUAACAUUGCAGUUUCGCAUGAAACAGCAAUUAAAGGAGCAAUCCGCUAUGAGAUGGGCCCGCGGCGCAUUAGCUAGUUGGUGAGGUAACGGCUCACCAAGGCGACGAUGCGUAGCCGACCUGAGAGGGUGAUCGGCCACAUUGGGACUGAGACACGGCCCAGACUCCUACGGGAGGCAGCAGUGGGGAAUAUUGCACAAUGGGGGAAACCCUGAUGCAGCCAACGCCGCGUGAGUGAUGACGGCCUUCGGGUUGUAAAGCUCUGUCUUCAGGGACGAUAAUGACGGUACCUGAGGAGGAAGCCACGGCUAACUACGUGCCAGCAGCUGC
Molecule: ribosomal RNA, 491 nt
Filed under: uncultured bacterium
Lineage: Bacteria
Description: bacterial SSU rRNA
Rfam family: Bacterial small subunit ribosomal RNA
Source: RNAcentral